RNAcentral lists this ribosomal RNA (254 nucleotides) under uncultured bacterium. RNAcentral describes it as "partial 16S ribosomal RNA". It matches the Rfam family "Bacterial small subunit ribosomal RNA", at positions 524 to 776 of the family's 1533-position model. The record is from RNAcentral.
UACGGAGAGUGCAAGCGUUGUUCGGAAUUAUUGGGCGUAAAGCGCGUGUAGGUGGCUCCACAAGUCUGAUGUGAAAGCCCAGGGCUCAACCCUGGAAGUGCAUUGGAAACUGUAGAGCUUGAGUACUGGAGGGGGAAGUGGAAUUCUCGAGUGUAGAGGUGAAAUUCGUAGAUAUUCGGAAGAACAUCAGUGGCGAAGGCGACUUCCUGGACAGAUACUGACACUGAGACGCGAAAGCGUGGGUAGCAAACAGG